This 37-nucleotide transfer RNA is filed under the name Hypoplectrus unicolor (butter hamlet). RNAcentral describes it as "partial tRNA-Glu". Lineage: Eukaryota; Metazoa; Chordata; Actinopteri; Perciformes; Serranidae. RNAcentral also lists the same sequence under 8 other names. The record is from RNAcentral.
CAAUUCCUGCCAGGACUCUAACCAGGACUAAUGGCUU